CGUUGUUCGGAAUUACUGGGCGUAAAGGGCUUGUAGGCGGCCAACUAAGUCAGACGUGAAAUCCCUCGGCUUAACCGGGGAACUGCGUCUGAUACUGGAUGGCUAGAGGUUGGGAGAGGGAUGCGGAAUUCCAGGUGUAGCGGUGAAAUGCGUAGAUAUCUGGAGGAACACCGGUGGCGAAGGCGGCAUCCUGGACCAAUUCUGACGCUGAGGAGCGAAAGCCAGGGGAGCAAACGGG
This 238-nucleotide ribosomal RNA is filed under the name uncultured bacterium. Its description in RNAcentral is "partial 16S ribosomal RNA". It matches the Rfam family "Bacterial small subunit ribosomal RNA", at positions 539 to 776 of the family's 1533-position model. The record is from RNAcentral.